UACGUAGGGUGCAAGCGUUAAUCGGAAUUACUGGGCGUAAAGCGUGCGCAGGCGGUUAUAUAAGACAGUUGUGAAAUCCCCGGGCUCAACCUGGGAACUGCAUUUGUGACUGGCAAGCUAGAGUAUGGCAGAGGGGGGUAGAAUUCCACGUGUAGCAGUGAAAUGCGUAGAGAUGUGGAGGAAUACCGAUGGCGAAGGCAGCCUCCUGGGCCAAUACUGACGCUCAUGGCACGAAAGCGUGGGGAGCAAACAGG
RNAcentral lists this ribosomal RNA (254 nucleotides) under uncultured bacterium. RNAcentral's name for it is "partial 16S ribosomal RNA". It matches the Rfam family "Bacterial small subunit ribosomal RNA", at positions 524 to 776 of the family's 1533-position model. The record is from RNAcentral.